Molecule: ribosomal RNA, 389 nt
Filed under: Globigerinita uvula
Lineage: Eukaryota; Foraminifera; Rotaliida; Globigerinitidae
Description: bacterial SSU rRNA
Rfam family: Eukaryotic small subunit ribosomal RNA
Source: RNAcentral
GCGUGGAGCAUGUGGCUUAAUUUGACUCAACGCGGGAAAUCUUACCGGGUCCGGACACACUGAGGAUUGACAGGCAAUAUAUGUGACUCUUCGGAGUUUGCAUUGUUAAAUAUGCUAGUCCUUUCAUGAUUAUGUGAUAGGUGGUGCAUGGCCGUUCUUAGUUCGUGGAGUGAUCUGUCUGCUUAAUUGCGUUUCAAAUUACUUAUAAGGUAGCAAUACGCGAUGAAGCUUUCAAUAGUCCUCACGGAUUCACUUGAGUCUCUCGCUUCGCUAUCCUUUCGAAUGCAACGAACGUGACCGCAACCUCUUGUUGCCUUCGUUUAACAUCCUGCAGCUCGCUGUGGGUACUGAGGGCUUCACUCGGUGACUUUGGGCUGAGCAAUCGGUCU